UGGAAGUGGUUAGUGACAGAAAAC
RNAcentral lists this non-coding RNA (24 nucleotides) under Cricetulus griseus (Chinese hamster). The record is from RNAcentral. Lineage: Eukaryota; Metazoa; Chordata; Mammalia; Rodentia; Cricetidae.